This 484-nucleotide ribosomal RNA is filed under the name uncultured bacterium. RNAcentral describes it as "partial 16S ribosomal RNA". It matches the Rfam family "Bacterial small subunit ribosomal RNA", at positions 30 to 507 of the family's 1533-position model. The record is from RNAcentral.
AUUGAACGCUGGCGGCAGGCCUAACACAUGCAAGUCGAGCGGAUGAAGGGAGCUUGCUCCUGGAUUCAGUGGCGGACGGGUGAGUAAUGCCUAGGAAUCUGCCUGGUAGUGGGGGAUAACGUCCGGAAACGGGCGCUAAUACCGCAUACGUCCUGAGGGAGAAAGUGGGGGAUCUUCGGACCUCACGCUAUCAGAUGAGCCUAGGUCGGAUUAGCUAGUUGGUGGGGUAAAGGCCUACCAAGGCGACGAUCCGUAACUGGUCUGAGAGGAUGAUCAGUCACACUGGAACUGAGACACGGUCCAGACUCCUACGGGAGGCAGCAGUGGGGAAUAUUGGACAAUGGGCGAGAGCCUGAUCCAGCCAUGCCGCGUGUGUGAAGAAGGUCUUCGGAUUGUAAAGCACUUUAAGUUGGGAGGAAGGGCAGUAAGUUAAUACCUUGCUGUUUUGACGUUACCAACAGAAUAAGCACCGGCUAACUUCGUG